This 1407-nucleotide long non-coding RNA is filed under the name Bos indicus x Bos taurus (hybrid cattle). Its description in RNAcentral is "lncRNA (ENSBIXG00000012068.1)". Lineage: Eukaryota; Metazoa; Chordata; Mammalia; Artiodactyla; Bovidae. The record is from RNAcentral.
GCCUGCAUUCUGCUGCUCCAGGCCCACGAGGACAGCGCAGAAGCCAGCCCGCAGGCCGCCUUCCUCUUUCCCUGCCGAGCUCCCUCCUUUCGCAGACCCCUGCACACGGUGGGUGCCCCGGGCCUGCCUCAGCAACCUGGUGGGAUGGGCUCUGUCAGUGCCCCGUCAGUGCCCUGGGUUCAAAUCCUGACUCUGCUACUUGGGAGUGCCACGGUCUGGUGUGCAGCUCGUGUGGCUUUUGCUGCUCAGCCUCAUCUAUAAGGAAUCGAGGAAAUAAAGGAAGUAAAACAGGUGUCAACAGUAAAUGUCCCUCAAGGACGAGAUGGAGCUUCAAGCUAAGUUGUGACCAGAGCCCCCUUGACGGACAUGCCCUGAGAACUCACCCCUUGCCUGGAAGUUCACUCUGAGGUCUAUCCUGAGUUCCUCCUGCUGCCUCCUCACCUGCCUGUGCUGCUCGGAAGUUCCUUGGCUCUGCUUGGUGACGUGGAGCCCUUUGACACCAGGGCAGACUGGUGACGCCUCCACAGCUGUGCUCUGCCCUGAAGCUGGAUCCAGCCUGCGAAAGCUAAGAGAAGGUUCUGGGCAGGGGUGCCGUUCCUUCUAGCACCCCACCUCCAAGGAGCUAGCUGCCCGGGGCGGGAACAGAGCUGAGAUGGGAGGGGCAGGCAGAGGGGCCACUGCUGUACCAGAUUCCCCAAAGGACAGAGGCGCUAUCCGCUCUACCACUCCCCCAGGAAUCACACCCUGCCGACCUGCCUCAUUAACUCGCUGGCCCGUAGGACAGAGAUGCUGGUGCCUGCCAGAUCCCCAGACUCCAGAGAGAGGGCCAUGAGCCACAGCAGGACUUGCCCCCCACUCUCAGCCAGGGCCCGGCAUCACUUACGCCGGCCUGCCUCUUCCUGUCUCUGGCUAUCUCUGGCUGUCUUUCUCUGAGCAUACUAGGGCCUAAAACCUGCUCAGAACAGGAGGAGGGCUGUGGGCUCCCAGGACCCAGGGAGGGGGAAAACACAGGGGCUGAGAAAGAAUCAGUGAGCCAGACUGCUAAGAGAAACAGCUGAUCACAGGGAUUGUUCUGCACUGACUAGAGAUGGGACCCACUAAAGGAAUCUAAUGUAACCUCUGCUGCCUUCUGAUACGGGAAUCUUCUCCACUUCACCUCUUUGCCAAGUGUUCCCUGGCUUCUGCUUGUUUGCCUCUAGUGACAGACAGCUCAGUCCUUUAGAACUGAGCAGAGGGAUAAGGACCAAGAACAGAGGCUUUUUUUAAUAUAUAUAAUUAAUUUUUACUGGAGUACAGUUGCUUGACAGUGUUGUGUUAGUUUCUACUUCACAGCACAAUGAAUCAGCCACACGUAAUCCUACGUCCCCUCCCUUCUGGACUUCCUUCCUAUUCAGGUCACUGCCAUGC